RNAcentral lists this ribosomal RNA (386 nucleotides) under Chalcides guentheri. Its description in RNAcentral is "partial 12S ribosomal RNA". It matches the Rfam family "Bacterial small subunit ribosomal RNA", at positions 794 to 1384 of the family's 1533-position model. The record is from RNAcentral. Lineage: Eukaryota; Metazoa; Chordata; Lepidosauria; Squamata; Scincidae.
GCUUAGCCCUAAACAUAGACAAUACAAACACAAUAUUGUCCGCCAGAGAACUACAAGCGAAAAACUCGAAACUCCAAGGACUUGGCGGUGCUCCACACCAGCCUAGAGGAGCCUGUCCUAUAAUCGAUACUCCACGUUAAACCUUACCGCCCUUAGCCCCUCAGCCUAUAUACCGCCGUCGUCAGCUUACCUUGUGAAAGUAACAACAGUAGGCACAAUAGUUAUUAACUAGCACGUCAGGUCAAGGUGUAGCACAUACGGCGGAAGAGAUGGGCUACAUUUUCUACUACAGAACAAACGAACGGCACAAUGAAAUAUGUACCCGAAGGCGGAUUUAGCAGUAAGGUAAAUAAGAAACAUUACCUUAAACCCGCUCUGGAGCGCGC